RNAcentral lists this ribosomal RNA (466 nucleotides) under uncultured bacterium. RNAcentral describes it as "bacterial SSU rRNA". It matches the Rfam family "Bacterial small subunit ribosomal RNA", at positions 28 to 507 of the family's 1533-position model. The record is from RNAcentral.
GACGAACGCUGGCGGCGUGCUUAACACAUGCAAGUCGAACGGUGACGAGGAGCUUGCUCCUCUGAUCAGUGGCGAACGGGUGAGUAACACGUGAGCAACCUGCCCCAGACUCUGGGAUAACAGUUGGAAACAGCUGCUAAUACCGGAUACGAGACGGAGAGGCAUCUCUACCGUCUGGAAAGUUUUUCGGUCUGGGAUGGACUCGCGGCCUAUCAGCUAGUUGGUGAGGUAAUGGCUCACCAAGGCGACGACGGGUAGCCGGCCUGAGAGGGCGACCGGCCACACUGGGACUGAGACACGGCCCAGACUCCUACGGGAGGCAGCAGUGGGGAAUAUUGCACAAUGGGCGAAAGCCUGAUGCAGCGACGCCGCGUGAGGGAUGACGGCCUUCGGGUUGUAAACCUCUUUCAGCAGGGAAGAAGCGAAAGUGACGGUACCUGCAGAAGAAGCACCGGCUAAUUACGUG